GCCUAGGUAGCUCAGUUGGUAGAGCAACGGACUGAAAAUCCGUGUGUCGGCGGUUCGAAUCCGCCCCUAGGCACCA
This 76-nucleotide transfer RNA is filed under the name Holosporaceae bacterium. Its description in RNAcentral is "tRNA-Phe". It matches the Rfam family "tRNA". Rfam says of the family: Transfer RNA (tRNA) molecules are approximately 80 nucleotides in length. Their secondary structure includes four short double-helical elements and three loops (D, anti-codon, and T loops). The record is from RNAcentral. Lineage: Bacteria; Pseudomonadati; Pseudomonadota; Alphaproteobacteria; Holosporales; Holosporaceae.